Molecule: unclassified non-coding RNA, 3545 nt
Filed under: Haliotis rubra (blacklip abalone)
Lineage: Eukaryota; Metazoa; Mollusca; Gastropoda; Lepetellida; Haliotidae
Description: e3 ubiquitin-protein ligase Midline-1-like, transcript variant X3
Source: RNAcentral
GGUCAGACUGAUUCUCAGCGUGGAGUCAGCCAGGGAGGAUGUGUUGCCUCCUUGUUUUUGAUGACUUUUGAUUGAUUUUGUGGAAUUGGACUGUGUGUUCAGUAUGUGGACUAAAUGCAUCAAGAUGACAUUGGAAUCAAAUAUUAACCAACAUGCUAUUCAAAAUAUAAUUCCGAUAGAAGAAUAAAUUGUUAUUGCUUCAGUUUAUAGCAUAAAGUCGAAAUUGUAUUUCAUUGCAAGCAAUUUUAUGUUGUUCAUUGAUUGAGUGGGGAAACAAAUAUUGAUCAAACAUAAUCAAGUCGACUAUUAUCCUUCGUCAUUAGCAUGACAAUAUAUGUAGGGUUGGUAGGUUGUAUUGACUUUUGAUAUUGAUGAACCAUUUUAAGAUAGCCGAAGGGAACACGUUACAGCUACAACUGUUAAGGAACUAAGUGUAUGACACCAGUAUAAACCGUUCAUCUCAUUAAUGACGUGUGCUCAUUAAGGUAGCUGUUGUGACUGUUUCUUUGCUCCAUGGCAGCGCCGACUUACAUGUAUCAUUUAUGGAAAGUGUGGCGGCGUGAGGAAUUACCCUUGCAAUACUCAAUGGACUUGCUGGACUCUCCCCAGAGAUACAGGUGCUCUUUCCUCACUAGGCGUCGGUCCAGUGUAGGUCGAACCAUGGAGGUGGAUAGUGACCUGCAGUGUCCAAUUUGUCUCGAGCUGUUCAACUAUCCCAUAAUCCUCCCCUGUUCUCACAUCCUGUGCCGAUCCCCGUGUGCGGAGAAUCUGUUUGACUUUGACUUCAUCCGCUGCCCUGUGUGCCGUGACAACUGUUACAUCAGCGGAGGCAUCUCGAGUCUGCCAAGAGUUAUCACCCUUGAGAACAUCAUCGACAAGUACAAGGCAGAGCGACGCAAGGAUCAGGAAGAACAAGAAGCCCUCGCCGUCAGCUCAGAAACAUCAUCGGAUGGAAUUUUGUGCCAGUUGUGUGAGAAUUCCCCCAGACUUGCAAAGAAGUCGUGUCUUGAUUGCAAUGCAUCUUAUUGCUCAAACUGUCUCCGUUUGUCACAUCCAAACAGAGAACCAUUCACAGAUCAUGAACUGAUUGAACCCCGGAAGGAGCUCCGGGCAUCAUUAGCGCUAUGCUCUGAACAUGGAGAAGCUCUGAGUCUGUUCUGUCAUCAAUGUCGGCGGCCAUUUUGUCUGGCAUGUGAUGAAGCUGAGCUUCAUGUUGACCACCCUACUGUCUCCAUUGAAGAGGGAUACGCAAAACUGAAACUUAACCUGAAGGAGAGUCUGGAGCGACUGACCGACAGCCAGUGCAAGAUGAUGACCACUCUCAAACUGCAGCAGGAUCACCUCAAGGACAUGCAGCUGCUGGUGGACAGGAAGCGGGAUGAUAUCAACAUGCAGUGUGACUCUCUGCUGGCGGAGGUAGAAAACAAGCGUAGCUUCUUCCUGGCCGACCUUGAGAACGAGGAGCGGGUCAGACAGAACACUGUGGAGGAAGUCAUUAAACUGUUUGAGAAGAUCCUGGGAUCCUCCCAAAGUCUUCAGACCUACACCGAGGACAUACUGAAGCGGGACCCUGCUUCCUUCCUGGAGGUUGCUUCAGCACUGAAUGAAAGGAUAUCCAAGGCUGAGACUGACUGUGAGAGCUGCCAGUACCAGCCAUGUGACCUUGGUAGCCUCAAGGCCAAGAUUGUGGAUUUCAAGAGGGAGAAGGCAGCACUGAGAGAUCUCCACUACCUGACAGCCCCCUCCACCCCCAUCAUUGAUGUGACUAAGUGUUCCCGUAGUGAAGACGCAGUAGCACUAGUGGUGUCGUCGUCCAGGGUGUGCCAGGAGGUCAUUGACAGCUAUGAACUCCGCUACUGCACCGAGGAACAAAAGAGUGUAGGAAUAGAGGACACAGUGACUGUGAGGAGCUGCCCCGAAGACAGGCAGAUCAUCAAGGGCUUGAGUCAGAGCAGCAGCUGUGAGGUCCUGCUGCUGGAGAAUCUGUACCGAGCCACCACCUACUACUUCUGUCUGUCUGCUGUCAACUCAGGCGGGAAGAGUGCCAACUCUGAGGUGGUGCAGUGUCGCACUCUCAGUCAGAGCGAGAGCGUUGUCCCAGUGCCGGUGAUCCUGGAGACGUUGUGCCGCCGCUUCAUGUCGUCAAUACAGGUGUGCAGCUCCAGCCCCCUGGACGUUGCCAUCGAGCAGAAGAUCUCCCACUUCCUGCUGUAUCGGCCAUCAGACCGGGGUCAUCACUGUCUCUGGAAGAGCGUGUCUUUGUAUGGGCGCCAGGAACAUCGUGUGUUUGGCUUAGAGCCGAACACGGAAUAUAUGUUUGUGAUUAUGGCUUGUAACUCUCGUGGGGAAUGUCAGCUUUCUAACAGAGUCUCACUACAGACAGAGCUGUCUGCCAUUUGAGAAAGUUGUGAUGACAGUGACACUACAGACAGAGCUGUCUGCCAUUUGAGAAAGUUGUGAUAACAGUGUCACUACAGACAGAGCUGUCUGAUAUUUGAUGCUGUAGAUGGUUGUGAUAACAGUCUCACUACAGACAGAGCUGUCUGCCAUUUGAUGCUGUAGAAAGUUGUGGCAACUCUCUCCCUACAGACAGAGCUGUCUGCCAGUUUACUGCUAUAGAAGGUUGUGACAACAUCCUUGCAUUACACAUAGCUUUAUUGAUACUAUACAAGGGUUGACAACAGAGCUGCCCUCAUCUGCAUUAUAAAGGAAACAGCCAAGUAUUCCCUGUCUGUCAUUGCAUGAGGGUGUGGACUCGCUUCUGCUCAAGAUACUAACGGUACUGUCCACCCACCAAAUACAAGUUUCGCUCACUACACAAGUGCAAUACAUGCACAGGUAUAAAUAUCUAAUAACUUUGUUCAUCCUGUGAGUGGAUGUUUAUUACUAAUGUUCCAACAGUUUAACCCAUGAUGUAGAAUGAGUACUUGUACAAUAUUAAUACAAUGUUCCAGAAUUUAAGAAAGCAGAUGAUUCUUAGUCUGGACAAUACUGUACUCAACAGUGACUGCACUAGUUAAAAAACUCACCAUUACAUCUUUGUGUUAGCCAAAAUGUACAACCCCACUAUCAGAAAUAUCCAUGGCAUGUCUGUGUUUCUCCAUCAGAUACAUCCUAAUGUUCAACAUGCUUUCCUUUGAGCAGAUAAUGUAUUUUUGUAAACAACCCAUGCUCAUGUAUUUUGCCUCAAGUCUACACAACUCAAAGGCCUGACAUGGUCAGUGUGAGAGUAGAACUAGAUGGACACAUAUCCUAUGUCUAACAGGAGUGUGCGAGUAAGCUUUUACCUGCUUUCAGCAAAAUCCCAGCAAUAUCACAGCAGUGGACACCAGAAAUUGGUUCACUCAUUGUACCCUUUUGGGGAAUCAAACCCUGGCCUUCUGUAUGAUAAGCCAACACACUAACCAAUAGACUACCCCACCACCUCUCACCAGGAGGAGCCCGAGAAGGGAAGUUCUACUUACCAAUGGUGCUGCACAUUAACGUUGUUGUCCUCACUGCCACAGUAUUAUAGAGGGGGAAGACAGAACCAAGUUGUGUACCCC